RNAcentral lists this ribosomal RNA (564 nucleotides) under Enterobacter cloacae. RNAcentral's name for it is "bacterial SSU rRNA". It matches the Rfam family "Bacterial small subunit ribosomal RNA", at positions 558 to 1122 of the family's 1533-position model. The record is from RNAcentral. Lineage: Bacteria; Pseudomonadati; Pseudomonadota; Gammaproteobacteria; Enterobacterales; Enterobacteriaceae.
GCGUAAGCGCACGCAGGCGGUCUGUCAAGUCGGAUGUGAAAUCCCCGGGCUCAACCUGGGAACUGCAUUCGAAACUGGCAAGCUAGAGUCUUGUAGAGGGGGGUAGAAUUCCAGGUGUAGCGGUGAAAUGCGUAGAGAUCUGGAGGAAUACCGGUGGCGAAGGCGGCCCCCUGGACAAAGACUGACGCUCAGGUGCGAAAGCGUGGGGAGCAAACAGGAUUAGAUACCCUGGUAGUCCACGCCGUAAACGAUGUCGAUUUGGAGGUUGUGCCCUUGAGGCGUGGCUUCCGGAGCUAACGCGUUAAAUCGACCGCCUGGGGAGUACGGCCGCAAGGUUAAAACUCAAAUGAAUUGACGGGGGCCCGCACAAGCGGUGGAGCAUGUGGUUUAAUUCGAUGCAACGCGAAGAACCUUACCUGGUCUUGACAUCCACAGAACUUUCCAGAGAUGGAUUGGUGCCUUCGGGAACUGUGACACAGGUGCUGCAUGGCUGUCGUCAGCUCGUGUCGUGAAAUGUUGGGUUAAGUCCCGCAACGAGCGCAACCCUUGUCCUUUGUUGCCAGC